GACGAACGCUGGCGGCGUGCUUAACACAUGCAAGUCGAACGGAAAGGCCCUGCUUGCAGGGUGCUCGGGUGGCGAACGGGUGAGGAAAACGUGGGUGAUCUGCCCCUUAAUUUGGGAUAAGCCUGGGUAACUGGGUCUAAUACUGGAUAGCACCAUGCUGCAGGUGGUGUGGUGGUAAGAUUCGUUUCGGUGAGGGAUGAGCGCGCGGCCUAUCAGCUUGUUGGUGGGGUAAUGGCCUACGAAGGCGUCGACGGGUAGCCGGCCUGAGAGGGUGGACGGCCACAUUGAGACUGAGAGACGGCGCAGACUCCUGCGGGAGGCAGCAGUGGGGAAUAUUGCACAAGGGGCGCAAGCCUGAUGCGGCGACGCCGCGUGGGGGGUGACGGCCUUCGGGUUGUAAACUCCUUUCGGCCAUGACGAAGCCCUUGUGGUGACGGUAGUGGAAGAAGAAGCACCGGCUAACUACGUG
This 469-nucleotide ribosomal RNA is filed under the name uncultured bacterium. Its description in RNAcentral is "partial 16S ribosomal RNA". It matches the Rfam family "Bacterial small subunit ribosomal RNA", at positions 28 to 507 of the family's 1533-position model. The record is from RNAcentral.